CCUACGGGAGGCAGCAGCAGGGAAUUUUGGGCAAUGGGCGAAAGCCUGACCCAGCGACGUCGCGUGGGGGAUGAAGGCCCUAGGGCUGUAAACCCCUUUUCCCGGGGAAGAGAAAGGACGGUACCCGGGGAAUAAGCUCCGGCUAACUACGUGCCAGCAGCCGCGGUAAUACGUAGGGAGCAAACGUUACCCGGAAUUACUGGGCGUAAAGAGCGCGUAGGCGGCUUGGUAAGUCUCUUGUGAAAGCUCCCGGCUCAACUGGGAGAGGUCAAGGGAAACUACCUCGCUUGAGGGCGGUAGAGGAAAGCGGAAUUCCCGGUGUAGCGGUGAGAUGCGUAGAUAUCGGGAGGAACACCAGUGGCGAAGGCGGCUUUCUGGGCCGUGCCUGACGCUGAGGCGCGAGAGCGUGGGGAGCAAACUGGAUUAGAUACCCAGGUAGUCCACGCCCCAAACGAUGAAUGCUAGGUACAGGGGGUAUCGACCCCCCCUGUGCCGAAGCUAACGCGAUAAGCAUUCCGCCUGGGGAGUACGGCCGCAAGGCUAAAACUCAAAGGAAUUGACGG
This 563-nucleotide ribosomal RNA is filed under the name uncultured bacterium. RNAcentral's name for it is "bacterial SSU rRNA". It matches the Rfam family "Bacterial small subunit ribosomal RNA", at positions 338 to 916 of the family's 1533-position model. The record is from RNAcentral.